Molecule: ribosomal RNA, 218 nt
Filed under: uncultured bacterium
Lineage: Bacteria
Description: partial 16S ribosomal RNA
Rfam family: Bacterial small subunit ribosomal RNA
Source: RNAcentral
CGUGAGGAACCUGCCUUUCAGAGGGGGACAACAGCUGGAAACGGCUGCUAAUACCGCAUGACGCAUUCGGAUGGCAUCAUCUGAAUGCCAAAGAUUUAUCGCUGAAAGAUGGCCUCGCGUCUGAUUAGAUAGUUGGCGGGGUAACGGCCCACCAAGUCGACGAUCAGUAGCCGGACUGAGAGGUUGACCGGCCACGUUGGGACUGAGAUACGGCCCAG